CAGUCGCCGCGGGAAUACGUAGGGUGCAAGCGUUAAUCGGAAUUACUGGGCGUAAAGCGUGCGUAGGCGGUGAGUUAAGUCUGCUGUGAAAUCCCCGGGCUCAACCUGGGAAUGGCAGUGGAUACUGGCUCGCUAGAGUGUGUCAGAGGAUGGUGGAAUUCCCGGUGUAGCGGUGAAAUGCGUAGAGAUCGGGAGGAACAUCAGUGGCGAAGGCGGCCAUCUGGGACAACACUGACGCUGAGGCACGAAAGCGUGGGGAGCAAACAGGAUUAGAUACCCCAGUAGUCCAUGUCUCUUAUAC
This 301-nucleotide ribosomal RNA is filed under the name uncultured bacterium. RNAcentral's name for it is "partial 16S ribosomal RNA". It matches the Rfam family "Bacterial small subunit ribosomal RNA", at positions 509 to 807 of the family's 1533-position model. The record is from RNAcentral.